AAUAAUAACAAACUUAAACUGCUAAACCAAAAAUAUCUCCACUCUGGGUGCCUCGCCACUCUACCUCACACAAACUACUCUCAGUGCUUCAUUCCCUUUGAGAACCGCACACCCUUUUUCUUCUUCUUCUUCUCCAUCAUUCCAUCUUUUUCAUCGCUCAAAUCUCUUCUAAGUUUUCAUCUCAAUGUUAAUCGCAAUCUGAAUCCUUUUCUCGGACAAGUUAGAGCUGAUUUUGAUUGAAAUCUAAAUCGCGCUCUAGUCAUCAGAUCUGGAGCAGGGGUUUAGUGUUGAGAGUGGUGGUGUUUUGCUUUCGUCUUCAUAUUUGUCUCUGCAGACGAUGUUGUUGUGCUCACCAAAGAUAACUUUGAGAAGGAGGUUGGUCAGGACAGAGGAGCACUUGUUGAGUUCUACGCUCUUUAGUAAUAAAAUAAAAUAAUCACCAAUCUAUUUUUGGUUCCUUUGUUGAAUCAAUUUUACCUUAUCUAGGGUUUAGUUCAGUAUACAAUUCGAAUAGAAUGUGUUAUUGUCCUUUAUCUCUUUGAUUUUGUAGAUUAAUAGAUGUUUAACUUUAUAUUUUUUUAUUUGAUUCCUUUAAUAUAAGUUAUUAGAUGAUAAGAUCUCUGUAUAAUUGACACGAGAGAGUGAGGGUACCGAUACCUUUUUUGUGCCAAUCGAAGGUUCUAAGUUCAUAUAUAUAUAUAUAUAAAAUUGCCAGGUUUUCACUCUGUCGGGUGAUUCAUCAUGGCGAUCCAGCAAAGAUAAGAUGCACAUUUUGUUUCUAAUUCUCGAUCUAUGUUUCUCGUACCACUUUUUUGUUACCAUAGGUGUGGCCACUGUAAAAAGCUUGCCCCUAAUAUGAAAAGCUCAGUUCCAGCUUCAAGAAAGUCAAAUCUGUUUUAAUUGGCAAGGGUUGUGGGUGGGACGUUUGACCAGUCAAUAUGUCAUUAGCAAUCUCUGCUAUAUCUAUAGGGCAGCAGGGAAACAAGAGAGCAUGAAGUUUACUGCAGGAUCAUGCUUAGUGCGCUUAGUUCGGUUUAAUUAAUGUCUCAUAAAAUGAUUGCUUGAUCAACUUGACAAUAUUUAUUGAGGACAACCAGUCUGGUUUGGAGAUCACAAAAGUUCAUAAGAUUAUGCUGUAUGGUUCAACCAGACAAAAAGAAGUCGUUGAAUGGCGAGAGGACUAAUACUAAAGCUCCCGGAGCAAGGAAUGGAAAAGUUUCAGGUAAAGUAGUAAAGGAUAGGCCAGUAAAUGGACUUAAUUGAAGGAGCAAAUCAGAUAUCAGCUCGAAAACCAAAGCAUCCCCUGGAAGCAGAAUGACAGCUACUAAAAGCAAAUCUGCAGAGGAAGAAGAAAGUAGAAAGUGAAAGGAGGAGCUACUAAUUCCUUGUCAUUGGUGUCAAGGUGAAAAAUAUUGACAAGCUAUCAAUUCCUUGAAGAGCAGCCAAAGUAUUUAUGUAUUCUUGGAUUGGUGUGACACUCCUCAAAUCUUGAGUGCAGAUCACAACAUUUAACAUCUCAUUAGUUGUCCAUGAAACCAUUGCGAAAAAUGAUGAUUUUCAGAAGGAAGAAUCCAACCCAUAUGUUGUUUCCAUUAGCAUGGGCAUCUUCAGAGUCUUAGUUAGUCCUUUAGGGAUAACAACCAUUACAAUAAUUAGAAGGAUUGUAUCAAAUUAUGAGGCAUUCCAGAAAUGGAAUGAAAAGAAGGGGGAGAGUAAGAAGAGAUACUACGACAGUAAGACUCGUGUCCAUGGAGACUGAAUGAUUUCUAUUGUUCUCAGCAUUAGACAUGGCAGCUUAGUAAAUUUUUAGGCCUUAUUUUAUUCUUUCUCUAUUAGUAAAAUGAAAUGAUAGCUCUGUACAAUUGUUCAGUUUGGACCAUAAUUGGACAUUGCGGUCUCUGCAUAUGAUUAAUCAUUUGCUAAACUGAUUUAGCCAGUGAUAUGUUUGUAGUUAACCAUGAAUAUUAUUUCCGAAUAAAUUCAUGGUUAAGUAAACCAUGGCUGAAUUAGUUUGGAAAAACGAUCCGACUUUAUGAUUCAAGCUGAGCAAAGCUAUCAUUUUCACUUUAUUUUGGUUUUUGGUAUCUUAUCUAGAUUUAUCCCUUAGCUUUUUUAAUAACAUGUUACAUUUGUAUUAUUGCUGUAUGUGAAUUUUAUGAGGAUUGAUCGUCUUUGGUCGAA
Arachis ipaensis is the source of this 2181-nucleotide non-coding RNA. Lineage: Eukaryota; Viridiplantae; Streptophyta; Magnoliopsida; Fabales; Fabaceae. The record is from RefSeq and is a predicted model, not a curated record.